GAUGAACGCUGGCGGCGUGCCUAACACAUGCAAGUCGAACGGAGUUUGUAGAACGGAAGUCUUCGGAUGGAAGAUUUAUAAACUUAGUGGCGGACGGGUGAGUAACGCGUGGGUAACCUGCCUCGUACAGGGGGAUAGCAGCUGGAAACGGCUGGUAAAACCGCAUAAGCGCACAACUUCGCAUGAAGGAGUGUGAAAAUAUUUAUAGGUACGAGAUGGGCCCGCGUCUGAUUAGCCAGUUGGCAGGGUAACGGCCUACCAAAGCGACGAUCAGUAGCCGGCCUGAGAGGGCGGACGGCCACAUUGGGACUGAGACACGGCCCAAACUCCUACGGGAGGCAGCAGUGGGGGAUAUUGCACAAUGGGCGAAAGCCUGAUGCAGCGACGCCGCGUGAGUGAAGAAGUAUUUCGGUAUGUAAAGCUCUAUCAGCAGGGAAGAAAGGCCUCGAAAGAGGAGAUGACAGUACAUA
Molecule: ribosomal RNA, 470 nt
Filed under: bacterium NB2003
Lineage: Bacteria
Description: bacterial SSU rRNA
Rfam family: Bacterial small subunit ribosomal RNA
Source: RNAcentral